This 253-nucleotide ribosomal RNA is filed under the name uncultured bacterium. RNAcentral's name for it is "partial 16S ribosomal RNA". It matches the Rfam family "Bacterial small subunit ribosomal RNA", at positions 524 to 776 of the family's 1533-position model. The record is from RNAcentral.
UACGGAGGGUGCAAGCGUUGUCCGGAUUUAUUGGGUUUAAAGGGUGCGUAGGCGGGCAUCUAAGUCAGUGGUGAAAUACUGCGGCUCAACCGUAGGAUUGCCAUUGAUACUGGAUGCCUUGAGUACGCGCGAGGUGGUUGGAAUACGUAGUGUAGCGGUGAAAUGCUUAGAUAUUACGUAGAACACCUAUUGCGAAGGCAGAUCACUAGCGCGGAACUGACGCUGAGGCACGAAAGUGUGGGUAGCGAACAGG